RNAcentral lists this long non-coding RNA (5142 nucleotides) under Triticum aestivum (bread wheat). Its description in RNAcentral is "long non-coding RNA (TAES_LNC013381)". The record is from RNAcentral. Lineage: Eukaryota; Viridiplantae; Streptophyta; Magnoliopsida; Poales; Poaceae.
ACAAGGUGUCGAUUUAGAUUACCGAGUUAUUUGAAACGUGUUUCAUUUGUUCUUUACAAAGUGUUAGAUACAAUUUCACUGCACAUAAGAAUUUUCUAGCUCAGUUAAAACGUAUUUUCAAGCAUACAAACCACAACUAAACAACGCGAAUGUAAAUAUAUACGACUGAGUCAUACAUCCUAAAAAAGGCAAGCAACGGACUGGUAAUAGGUAGGCCUGUUUUAGAGACUGUGGUAAACUACAGUUCAUUAUUACAUGCGAAAUGUUUUUGCUUCGGAGCAGAACACUGAUCUAUCUCUGUCUUCAUAUCUUUUUCUUCUCAGAGCUGGAGUGUGAUGCCUUGCUCCUAUUCAUGGCUAUUGACCUACAAUUUUUGAACAAUCUAAAUUAGUUAUUCAUUCAAUGGGAAAUCAGAAGUGGGGAUUACUUUACCAAGAUCAUUAGCAAGUUUAUGAGGGAAAAGAAAGCGAUAUAACUUCCAAAAGCAAACGUAAGAAUGAAGUACAUAGUAUUAUACUCCCUCCGUUCCAAAAUAGAUGACUCAAAUUUGUACUAACUUUAGUACAAAGUUAGUACAAAGUUGGGUCAUCUAUUUUGGAACGGAGGAGUAGCUGGGAAAGUAGGAACAUGAGAUGCGGCGUGUUUUAGAAAAAAAUGGUCGAGUCCCUGAUCCUAGUAACAUGAGCUGAGAUUAUUUUGUCAGGGACUCAUGGUCAUGGCUGUAUAUAAUUUUCACAAGCAACAAACCUAUGUGACAACCUACCUUCGAUCACAAAGCUAUAUAAUCUAUAUAAUAGACAAAAAUGGAGCAUUCGAUAACUUAAAUACCUAUUUUUCCUACCAUAGUGUGAUGAGGCUCUGAAACUGCACAUACAGGGAUUUUCAUGGGACCAUUCAGGACUUUGAAAAAAGAUACAAAAACUGCAUUCAGCUCUUCCAUCUAAGGCUACCUCAAUAAUAAACCAAUACUAAAUGAUAGAAUAAUCUGAAAAUCGUAUAUGAUAACAAUGCAAAAUAAUCUUGCAGCACCUCCUAAAACUGUAAAAGCUGUGAAAUUGGCAGUCAACUUACUAUCAACGAGAAACACCACACUAUGAUAACAAUGCAAAAUAAUCUUGCAGCACCUCCUAAAACUAUAAAAGCUGUGAAAUUGGCAGUCAACUUACUAUCAACGGGAAACACCACACUGCACUAUAUUUUUCCAGGAACAAGAUGCUAAUAUGCUUUCCCGUUCCCCACUGCAAGGAUGCACGUCGUCUCCCCAUUCUCCACCGCGAGGACGCCGACGCGUCCCUGUUCUCCACCGCCAGCACGCCCAACUCCUCCCCUAUCUCCACCACAAGGACGUUGGGCGCCUCUUCGUUUGCCACCCUGAGCACCGCAUUGAGGUCGUCUAGCAAUGUACUAUCAAGGCAACUGCUUUUCAUUGUCCCCCUCUAUUAAUUUUUCGCCGCACACACCCCUUGUUAUUCUACACCUAGGACGGCUGUUCUUGUAGAUUUUGCCGACCACCAUGUUCUGCAGUAAAUAGUAUGGCUGCAGUCCAAUGUGUUGAUUUUCAGCAGGCCAAUGUGUUGAUUGACUAAUUUUGUGCAUCAAAAACAGUAGGGCAGUGUUGAUGAAUCAAUUUUGUUUAGUAAAAAACGGAGUCUGUGACAAUACUAUAAAAGCGCUAGUCUCCAAAGUCCACCAUGCCGCAAAAACAUUUAGCACCCAUUUAAAUAUGGAUUUGGGUUCAUAUAUACACAAAGCGCAGUAAUUGUUGUGAAGCAAGAAAAAUAAUGCUCCUACUAUCAGAAAUAUGUGCCGACAACAACACCAUCCUAUUAGAGCUCGAAAACAGGAACAGAGAAGGCACCUAUACCUGUUCAUGGAGCUGUGUCUGAACCUCCAUUUGCAUAUGUAGAGCUUCUGCCAAGUUCCUAAGAAAAGGAGAAGGGGACAGAUGUAAAUUUGUAAGGUCAUGGUAUUUACCAUGCAUACAUUCUAGUGUACUAAUUCAGAGAUAUUACUUGUUUUUGAACGGAGCACUUCCACUGCUACCUAGUCGUACCUUCUUAAUAUCUGAGGAGGCCUUCUUUGAUGCGUAUUCAGUAUAAAAAAGGACUGCUCAUGAGUAGAAAGAUCAUUGUCGCAAUUUGGAAUGACAUGUUCUAGUAGGAAUCCUAGAUAUACAAAGAGAGGAUUAGUUCGGCAGAAUCAAUACGAUUAUUAGUAAAAAAUACAGAGUCCGUAACAAUACUAUAAAAGCUUAGUCUCCAAAGUCCACCAUGCCGCAAAAACAUUUAGCACCCAUUUAAAUAUGGAUUUGGGUUCAUAUAUACACAAAGCGCAGUAAUUAUUGUGAAGCAAGAAAAAGAAUGCCCCUACUAUCAGAAAUAUGUGCCGACAACAACACCAUCCUAUUAGAGCUCAAAAACAGGAACAGAGAAGGCACCUAUACCUAUUUAUGGAGCUGUGUCUGAACCUCCAUUUGCAUAUGUAGAGCUUCUGCCAAGUUCCUAAGAAAGGAGAAGGGGACAGAUGUAAAUUUGUAAGGUCAUGGUAUUUACCAUGCAUACAUUCUAGUGUAAUAAUUUAGAGAUAUUACUUGUUUUUGAACGGAGCACUUCCACUGCUACCUAGACGUACCUUCUUAUUGUCCAAGGAGGCCUUCUUCUCUGCAUACAGUAUGCAUCAAAAUUCAGUAUAAAAAAGGACUGCUCAUGAGUAGAAAGGUCAUUGUCGCAAUUUGGAAUGACAUGUUCUAGUAGGAAUCCUAGAUAUACAAAGAGAGGAUUAGUUCGGCACAAUCAAUACAAUUAUUAGUAAAAAAACAGAGUCCAUAACAAUACUAUAAAAGCACUAGUCUCCAAAGUCAACCAUGCCGCAAAAAUAUUUAGCACCCAUUUAAAUAUGGAUUUGGGUUCAUAUAUACACAAAGCGCAGUAAUUAUUGUGAAGCAAGAAAAAUAAUGCUCCUACUAUCAGAAAUAUGUGCCGACAACAACACCAUCCUAUUAGAGCUCGAAAACAGGAACAAAGAAGGCACCUAUACCUGUUCAUGGAGCUGUGUCUGAACCUGCAUUUGCAUAUGUAGAGCUUCUGCCAAGUUCCUAAGAAAAGGAGAAGGGGACAGAUGUAAAUUUGUAAGGUCAUGGUAUUUACCAUGCAUACAUUCUAUUGUAAUAAUUCAGAGAUAUUACAUGUUUUUGAACGGAGCACUUCCACUGCUACCUAGUCAUACCUUCUUAAUGUCUGAGGAGGCCUUCUUGUCUGCAUACAGUAUGCAUCAAAAUACUGUAUAAAAAAGGACUGCUCAUGAGUAGAAAGAUCAUUGUCGCAAUUUGGAAUGACAUGUUCUAGUAGGAAUCCUAGAUAUACAAAGAGGGGAUUAGUUCGCCAGAAUCAAUACGAUUAUUAGUAAAAAUACAGAGUUAAAAACAAUACUAUAAAAGCGCUAGUCUCCAAAGUCCACCAUGCCGCAAAAACAUUUAGCACCCAUUUAAAUAUGGAUUUGGGUUCAUAUAUACACAAAGCGCAGUAAUUAUUGUGAAGCAAGAAAAAGAAUGCUCCUACUAUCAGAAAUAUAUGUCGACAAGGCGACAACAACACCAUCCUAUUAGAGCUCGAAAACAUGAACAGAGAAGGCACCUAUAGCUGUUCAUGGAGCUGUGUCUGAACCUCCAUUUGCAUAUGUAGAGCUUCUGCCAAGUUCCUGAGAAAAGGAGAAGGGGACAGAUGUGAAUUUGCAAGGUCAUGGUAUUGACCAAGCAUACAUUCUAGUGUAAUAAUUCAGAGAUAUUACUUGUUUUUGAACGGAGCACUUCCACUGUUACCUAGUUGUACCUUCUUAAUGUCCGAGGAGGCUUUGUUUUCUGUAUAGAGUAUGCAUCAAAAUUCAGUAUAAAAAAGGACUACUCAUGAGUAGAAAGAUCAUUGUCGCAAUUUGGAAUGACAUGUUCUAGUAGGAAUCCUAGAUAUACAAAGAGAGUAUUAGUUCAGCAGAAUCAAUAUGAUUAUGCAACAAACUAUCAACCAUUGCACUAUAUCUCAAGAAUUUAUAGUGUAGCCUCCAAACAAAGCGGCAAUCAAGGCAACAUCAAUCUAACAACAAUGGCUGACCGAUGAUGUUUUAGUCCUUCUGGUUUACUAAUUCAGAGGAACUGUAACAAAAAUCGCUCUUUGGUCAAUAGCAUCAACUGAUUCUUUGAAAUCUAAAUUCCAAUCUUAGCUAAAAUUAUUCUUCCUCUCUUCUAUGUCAGAUCUGCACACGUCAAGUUUAAAAAUCCAUAUAAUAGCAAAGUAAAAUACGUGUGAGAAAGAAAUUAAGAGAGGGAGAGAAAGAGUGGAGCACCUAGUUCACCGCCGGCUUGCAUCGCUCGAGCCGCCGGCAACAGGCACAUGUUGUCCUCCUUAUACUCCAGAUCCACGAGGCAGUCAUGGGAGGAGGGAUGAGCUCCUGGUUCCUCUCGCCUUCCCACACCACCUGUUCACCUCGAGCUCCUUCCCCAUGCUAGGAUCGCUCACCUUCUCCUUCCCCGCUGUUGCUUGCCUUCCUCCCCGGCCUCCUCCUUCCCUUGUCGUCCGCAUCCUACACCUCCCCUACAUCCCCACCUGCACCGCAAAGAUGACCUAUGUCCAAUCUGGAUCGACGGUGAGAUGGAAGAGGAUAGGAGGAGGCGAGCAGAGGAGAAGGCUGGCGGUGGGAUCGACGACGACAUGGUAGCGGAGAGGAGGAGGCGAGUGGAGAGACGAGGUCGGCCGGCGGCUGCUGGCGAGGAGAGGAUCGUGGGAAUCGAGGGAGGGGUGCGGCGGCUCGUGGGGAUCGAUGGGAAAGAGAAAGAGGGCUAGGGUUCGUUUGGCGGCUGGGGUGGGAGUGGGGCGAGACGCGGGUGAUUGGGUGCGGGCGCGCCGAGCUGAUUGGGAAAAACCACCUGCACCUGCAAACGGGCAACCCAGCCAACCAACGUGCGAUGCGAGCCCACCAAUCAUUGGACGACGAAAACGACUGCGGGGUGAAAACUGAGUUUAACUGCUGUGAAGAUCAAUGGUCCAGAUGCACGAAAAAAGCAGAUCCGACGACCAACGAACAACCAAUCGGGGAAGCCUCCUGGAGGCGAGUUGCCUCGUACCUUCUUAUUGUCCAAGGAGGCCUUCUUGU